This 253-nucleotide ribosomal RNA is filed under the name uncultured bacterium. Its description in RNAcentral is "partial 16S ribosomal RNA". It matches the Rfam family "Archaeal small subunit ribosomal RNA", at positions 474 to 727 of the family's 1478-position model. The record is from RNAcentral.
UACCAGCACCCCGAGUGGCCGGGACGAUUAUUGGGCCUAAAGCAUCCGUAGCCGGUUUUACAAGUCCCCCGUUAAAUCCAGCUGCUUAACAGAUGGGCUGCGGAGGAUACUAUAAGACUAGGAGGCAGGAGAGGCAAGCGGUACUCAGUGGGUAGGGGUAAAAUCCGUUGAUCCAUUGAAGACCACCAGUGGCGAAGGCGGCUUGCCAGAAUGCGCUCGACGGUGAGGGAUGAAAGCUGGGGGAGCAAACCGG